RNAcentral lists this small nuclear RNA (103 nucleotides) under Phocoena sinus (vaquita). The record is from RNAcentral. Lineage: Eukaryota; Metazoa; Chordata; Mammalia; Artiodactyla; Phocoenidae.
UUGCUUUAGCAGCACAUGUACUAAAACCAGAACGAUACAGAGAAGAUUAGCAUGGCCCCUGUGCGUGGAUGACAUGCAAAUUCAUGAAGCGUUCCAUUAAAAA